Molecule: ribosomal RNA, 455 nt
Filed under: uncultured bacterium
Lineage: Bacteria
Description: bacterial SSU rRNA
Rfam family: Bacterial small subunit ribosomal RNA
Source: RNAcentral
UACGGGAGGCAGCAGUGGGGAAUAUUGCACAAUGGGCGAAAGCCUGAUGCAGCUAUGCCGCGUGUAUGAAGAAGGCCUUAGGGUUGUAAAGUACUUUCAUCGGGGAGGAAAAAACAAAACUAAUAAUUUUAUUUCUUGACGUUACCCGAAAAAGAAGCACCGGCUAACUCCGUGCCAGCAGCCGCGGUAAUACGGAGGGUGCUAGCGUUAAUCAGAAUUACUGGGCGUAAAGAGCACGUAGGUGGUUUUUUUAAGUCAGAUGUGAAAUCCCUGGGCUUAACCUGGAACUGCAUUUUGAAACUGGAAUACUAGAGUAUCGUAGAGGGAGGUAGAAUUCUAGGUGUAGCGGUGAAAUGCGUAGAUAUCUGGAGGAAUACCUGUGGCGAAAGCGGCCUCCUAAACGAAUACUGACACUGAGGUGCGAAAGCGUGGGGAGCAAACAGGGAUUAGAUACC